ACUAGUGAGAGCUGGGCUUCGAGGAGUCAGUGUACAGGGAAGGCUAAGGACGCUUCGGUUCUGGAGAGUUGAGAUUAUGCCUUUUCGUCCACCCCCCUCAGGGGCUGCCCAGCGAGGUUUCUCACAACGUUAUUUCAACGUGCAUAACGUGGCAUACAGAAGUCGAAUUAGCAUUGCUUGUCUAUGGAAAAGAAAAAAAAAAAGAGAAUAACUGCAGUCCAAGGACAACUGCUCCAUGCCCCCUCGGCCAGUUGGUGCUGAUCAAAGGACAGCAGAGGAGAGGGUCCAAGCAUCUAGAGGCGUGUGUUCAUCAAGUGCUGUGAAGGUCCUCCAACAGCGGGUGCUGAAAGAUAUAUUUCAAAACCUGGAAAACAUUGAAUCAUUGAAACAAAGUUACUUGUGAAGUUGCCCGAUGAAAAAACCAAACAUCCAGAUUCUUCUAUCAUACACAUAUUGCCUUCGAAGAUCUCUGAGCACUAUAGUCGACAGCUCUGCGUUAUCUCCGCUUUGUCCUCUCUGCUAGUAAGACGGCCACAGCCCUGCAGACUGAAUAUGAAGGUGGUGAUAUAUUCUGCCACCUGUCCAUGGGCAGUGCUCCUUCCCAGCUAUGUCUUGCAUCCAGAACUGAUGUUUUGAGAAAGAGCUUGUUACACCCCCCAAAAAACUUGUUCACAAUAGCACCUAGAGUCACGGCACAUUUCACGUUCAUCUGUAAAGGACUUGAGCACAUUUAUCAAUGUCUUCAACUUUCUUAGACUGAAUUUUAUUCUAUUUUAUUUUGGAAUACAUUUAUUUUUCUAAUUGUAUUCAUUCAGCAGGUAUUCUACAAAAAAACUAUCACCGUGUUGAAAAUGGGUUUCAGAAGGGAAAUAAAUGUUUUAACACAGUGCAAAAUCCCACUGCCACUGCAAUGAAUGUGCAUUUUCUCAGUGUGUGAGUUUCCCUUUCAACAAUUAAGCAAUAUUUUAGAAGAAAGUUAAACAUUUGGGUUGGAGAGAUGGCUUAGCAGUUAAGGCACUUGCCUGCAAGGCCCGAAGGACCCAUGUUGUCCAGAUGCAUAAGGGGGCACAAGAGUCUGGAGUUUGUUUGCAGUGGCUGGAGGCCCUGGAAUGCCCAUUUGUGCUCUCUCUCUCUCUGCCUAUUUCUGUAUAUCUCUUUCAAAGAAAUAACUAAAAACAAAAUAUUAAAAAAUAAAAGAAGUUAAACUUUUGACACUUUAGGAA
Long non-coding RNA from Jaculus jaculus (lesser Egyptian jerboa), 1223 nucleotides. RefSeq lists it as uncharacterized. Lineage: Eukaryota; Metazoa; Chordata; Mammalia; Rodentia; Dipodidae. The record is from RefSeq and is a predicted model, not a curated record. The transcript is spliced from 4 exons.